ACGGACGCGCGUCAACUCACAUAUCUCAUGGAUCAAUUCCUCGUCGAACCCCGCCGGUUUCCUUCCUUGCCCAGUUGCCCUGCCCAUGCCUCGUAUAUAAUGGACCGGAUCGAUCCAUCUACCGGCCGGGCGCUCCAGGCGAUCAAGAUCUCCGUCCCGGCAAUUAACUGGGAUCUCGGAACAAUGAUCAAAAUCUCAGGCCCUCCUCUGCUCGGCGCUUCUGCCAGGUAACGCAAGUGCGUCUCACCUUCUCCUGUUUUCAUUUCUCGGCGAUAAAUCUAAGUGCGAGCAAAAUACUCAAAGAUCAACCAGAAACCGUUUUGAGAGGACGGAUUGUUGGUAUGAUAUAAAUAAAAAUCCUGAAGCACUAGUAAAGCCUUAGAGAGUAUCUACACUGGUAGUAUUCUUCUUUCUUGGUGGAAAAGUACUUGCCACUGUAGAUACUCCCUAAGGCUUUAACAGGAGGUUUUGGGCCGUUGUGACUAUACUUAAUUGGAAUUGCAGUAAAAAUGUUUAGUGGAGAUGGAUUGUUUACACCUUUACGUUCGCUGCGAUGCAUACAUAGGGCUACAUUGCUGAAUCCACUUCUUUCUUUUUCUCCGGUUAUUAGUGGACUUGAAUUUUUUUUAAUCGUAUAGUUCCAAUGCGUUCGAAUAACCAGCGGCGAAAUACUGCGAGAAAGCGAUGAUGAUUGUCACUUGAAAAGACUAGCUCUAAAAUAACGUCUUCCUUGUGUGCUCAAGCCAUAGAGAAGGUAAGAAAUAUAUGUUCUAUUAUCAUAGUACCUAUAUAUACACUUUUUUUUGUUGGACUUUUGGGUGUAGUUGGGCACUUGGGCCAAGAGCAAAGCCCAAUCAACAAUAAUUUCAGAAUGAAUCUAAAAGAUCCUUUAGGUGGUGGCACUAAAGCUGAGUGGGAAUAGUCCCACUUGGAUAGAGAGUUGACCUUCUUAUGAAGGACGGUAGUCCACGCUCUCAUAAGCAAGAAAAAAAAAAAAAA
This 999-nucleotide precursor RNA is filed under the name Brachypodium distachyon (stiff brome). Its description in RNAcentral is "precursor microRNA 5200b". The stretch from base 369 to 461 matches the Rfam family "MIR5200 microRNA precursor family". Lineage: Eukaryota; Viridiplantae; Streptophyta; Magnoliopsida; Poales; Poaceae. The record is from RNAcentral.